This 2886-nucleotide ribosomal RNA is filed under the name Vibrio parahaemolyticus. RNAcentral describes it as "23S ribosomal RNA". It matches the Rfam family "Bacterial large subunit ribosomal RNA". Lineage: Bacteria; Pseudomonadati; Pseudomonadota; Gammaproteobacteria; Vibrionales; Vibrionaceae. The record is from RNAcentral.
GGUUAAGUGACUAAGCGUACACGGUGGAUGCCUUGGCAGUCAGAGGCGAUGAAAGACGUAGUAACUUGCGAUAAGCCCAGAUUAGGUAGUAACAACCAUUUGAGUCUGGGAUUUCUGAAUGGGGAAACCCACUUACAUAAGUAAGUAUCAUUAACUGAAUACAUAGGUUAAUGAGGCGAACCGGGGAACUGAAACAUCUAAGUACCCCGAGGAAAAGAAAUCAACCGAGAUUCCGAAAGUAGCGGCGAGCGAAAUUGGACUAGCCCUUAAGCUUUACACGCGUUAGACGAACGGUCUGGAAAGUCCGACGAUACAGGGUGAUAGUCCCGUAGUUGACGACGUGUGUUCAGUGAAAUCGAGUAGGGCGGGACACGUGAUAUCCUGUCUGAAUAUGGGGGACCAUCCUCCAAGGCUAAAUACUACUGACUGACCGAUAGUGAACCAGUACCGUGAGGGAAAGGCGAAAAGAACCCCUGUGAGGGGAGUGAAAUAGAACCUGAAACCGUGUACGUACAAGCAGUAGGAGCACCUUCGUGGUGUGACUGCGUACCUUUUGUAUAAUGGGUCAGCGACUUAUAUUCAGUGGCAAGGUUAACCAUCUAGGGGAGCCGUAGGGAAACCGAGUCUUAACUGGGCGUUCAGUCUCUGGAUAUAGACCCGAAACCAGGUGAUCUAGCCAUGGGCAGGUUGAAGGUUGAGUAACAUCAACUGGAGGACCGAACCGACUAAUGUUGAAAAAUUAGCGGAUGACUUGUGGCUAGGGGUGAAAGGCCAAUCAAACCUGGAGAUAGCUGGUUCUCCCCGAAAGCUAUUUAGGUAGCGCCUCGGACGAAUACUACUGGGGGUAGAGCACUGUUAAGGCUAGGGGUCAUCCCGACUUACCAACCCUUUGCAAACUCCGAAUACCAGUAAGUACUAUCCGGGAGACACACGGCGGGUGCUAACGUCCGUCGUGGAGAGGGAAACAACCCAGACCGCCAGCUAAGGUCCCAAAUUACUACUAAGUGGGAAACGAUGUGGGAAGGCUCAGACAGCCAGGAUGUUGGCUUAGAAGCAGCCAUCAUUUAAAGAAAGCGUAAUAGCUCACUGGUCGAGUCGGCCUGCGCGGAAGAUGUAACGGGGCUAAGUAGUAAACCGAAGCUGCGGCAAUGUGCUUUUGCACAUUGGGUAGGGGAGCGUUCUGUAAGCGGUUGAAGGUGUGUGGUAACGCAUGCUGGACGUAUCAGAAGUGCGAAUGCUGACAUGAGUAACGAUAAAGGGGGUGAAAAACCUCCUCGCCGGAAGACCAAGGGUUCCUGUCCAACGUUAAUCGGGGCAGGGUAAGUCGACCCCUAAGGCGAGGCCGAAAGGCGUAGUCGAUGGGAAACGGGUUAAUAUUCCCGUACUUCUUACAAUUGCGAUGGGGGGACGGAGAAGGCUAGGUGGGCCUGGCGACGGUUGUCCAGGUUCAAGUGCGUAGGCUUAAGAGUUAGGUAAAUCCGGCUCUUUUUAAGGCUGAGACACGACGUCGAGCACCUACGGGUGUGAAGUCAUUGAUGCCAUGCUUCCAGGAAAAGCCUCUAAGCUUCAGAUUGUAAGGAAUCGUACCCCAAACCGACACAGGUGGUCGGGUAGAGAAUACCAAGGCGCUUGAGAGAACUCGGGUGAAGGAACUAGGCAAAAUGGUACCGUAACUUCGGGAGAAGGUACGCUCUUGAUGGUGAAGUCCCUCGCGGAUGGAGCUGACGAGAGUCGCAGAUACCAGGUGGCUGCAACUGUUUAUUAAAAACACAGCACUGUGCAAAAUCGUAAGAUGACGUAUACGGUGUGACGCCUGCCCGGUGCCGGAAGGUUAAUUGAUGGGGUUAGACUUCGGUCGAAGCUCUUGAUCGAAGCCCCGGUAAACGGCGGCCGUAACUAUAACGGUCCUAAGGUAGCGAAAUUCCUUGUCGGGUAAGUUCCGACCUGCACGAAUGGCGUAAUGAUGGCCACGCUGUCUCCACCCGAGACUCAGUGAAAUUGAAAUCGCUGUGAAGAUGCAGUGUACCCGCGGCUAGACGGAAAGACCCCGUGAACCUUUACUACAGCUUGGCACUGAACAUUGACCCUACAUGUGUAGGAUAGGUGGGAGGCUUUGAAGCACGUACGCCAGUAUGUGUGGAGCCGUCCUUGAAAUACCACCCUUGUAGUGUUGAUGUUCUAACGUCGACCCCUAAUCGGGGUUGCGGACAGUGCCUGGUGGGUAGUUUGACUGGGGCGGUCUCCUCCCAAAGAGUAACGGAGGAGCACGAAGGUGGGCUAAUCACGGUUGGACAUCGUGAGGUUAGUGCAAUGGCAUAAGCCCGCUUGACUGCGAGAAUGACAAUUCGAGCAGGUGCGAAAGCAGGUCAUAGUGAUCCGGUGGUUCUGAAUGGAAGGGCCAUCGCUCAACGGAUAAAAGGUACUCCGGGGAUAACAGGCUGAUACCGCCCAAGAGUUCAUAUCGACGGCGGUGUUUGGCACCUCGAUGUCGGCUCAUCACAUCCUGGGGCUGAAGUCGGUCCCAAGGGUAUGGCUGUUCGCCAUUUAAAGUGGUACGCGAGCUGGGUUUAGAACGUCGUGAGACAGUUCGGUCCCUAUCUGCCGUGGGCGUUGGAAGAUUGAAGGGGCUGCUCCUAGUACGAGAGGACCGGAGUGGACGAACCUCUGGUGUUCGGGUUGUGUCGCCAGACGCAUUGCCCGGUAGCUAAGUUCGGAAUCGAUAACCGCUGAAAGCAUCUAAGCGGGAAGCGAGCCCUGAGAUGAGUCUUCCCUGAUACUUUAAGUAUCCUAAAGGGUUGUCGGAGACUACGACGUUGAUAGGUCAGGUGUGUAAGUGCUGUGAGGCAUUGAGCUAACUGAUACUAAUUGCCCGUGAGGCUUAACCAU